CCAUUGGUGGUUCAGUGGUAGAAUUAUUGCCUUCCAUGCAGGAGACCCGGGUUCAAUUCCUGGCCAGUGCA
RNAcentral lists this transfer RNA (71 nucleotides) under Loxodonta africana (African savanna elephant). It matches the Rfam family "tRNA". Rfam says of the family: Transfer RNA (tRNA) molecules are approximately 80 nucleotides in length. Their secondary structure includes four short double-helical elements and three loops (D, anti-codon, and T loops). Further hydrogen bonds mediate the characteristic L-shaped molecular structure. tRNAs have two regions of fundamental functional importance: the anti-codon, which is responsible for specific mRNA codon recognition, and the 3' end, to which the tRNAs corresponding amino acid is attached (by aminoacyl-tRNA synthetases). tRNAs cope with the degeneracy of the genetic code in two manners: having more than one tRNA (with a specific anti-codon) for a particular amino acid; and 'wobble' base-pairing, i.e. permitting non-standard base-pairing at the 3rd anti-codon position. Lineage: Eukaryota; Metazoa; Chordata; Mammalia; Proboscidea; Elephantidae. The record is from Rfam by way of RNAcentral.